UAUCUCUGUAGAGUCUGCAUAUCAAUAAGCGGAGGAAAAGAAACUAACAAGGAUUCCCUUAGUAACGGCGAGUGAGGCGGGAAGAGCUCAAAUUUGAAAUCUUCAAGGUUCUACCUUGACGAAUUGUAGUUUAUAGAAGUGUUUUCUGUUAGUAGAGUGGCAAAAGUUCUUUGGAAUAGGACAUCAUAGAGGGUGAGAAUCCCGUAUUUGGUCAUUCUUUCUAGCUUUGUGAUACACUUUCAACGAGUCGGAUUGAUUUGGGAAGUGCAGUCCAAAAUGGGUGGUAAAUUUCAUCUAAAGCUAAAUAUUGGCGAGAGACCGAUAGCGAACAAGUACCGUGAGGGAAAGAUGAAAAGAACUUUGAAAAGAGAGUUAAACAGUACGUGAAAUUGUCAAAAGGGAAGCGUUUGACACCAGUGUUGUUUUUCCGAAAAUCAAUUACGAAUGUUUUGUUUUUGAGAAGUUAUGACUUCAUCGGCUUGCUUCUUUCUUUACGAAACUUUCUUAAUGCACUUUUCGGUUAACAAGUCAACAUCAAUUUCUUUUGUUGUAAAAGGGUACGAGGAAGGUGGCUUUCUUUUCGGAGAAAGUGUUUAUAGCCUUGUGCCUCUGCAAUCGGAGAGAUUGAGGUCUGCAGCGUAGAUCCUUCGGGGUUAGAUACAUUUGUGCUAAGUUAUAGCUUUUCAUAGACAACUUGUUGACUAUGUUUAGUCUUGUAGCUUACUCGCUUAUGCUAUUUUACCUACGCUUAGGAUGUUGACGCAUGAGAUAUACGC
RNAcentral lists this ribosomal RNA (776 nucleotides) under uncultured Neocallimastigales. RNAcentral describes it as "partial large subunit ribosomal RNA". It matches the Rfam family "Eukaryotic large subunit ribosomal RNA", at positions 24 to 647 of the family's 3401-position model. The record is from RNAcentral. Lineage: Eukaryota; Fungi; Neocallimastigomycota; Neocallimastigomycetes; Neocallimastigales.